Papaver somniferum (opium poppy) is the source of this 400-nucleotide long non-coding RNA. RefSeq lists it as uncharacterized. The record is from RefSeq and is a predicted model, not a curated record. Lineage: Eukaryota; Viridiplantae; Streptophyta; Magnoliopsida; Ranunculales; Papaveraceae. The transcript is spliced from 3 exons.
UCUUCUUCUCUUUUCUUCUUCUCGUUCUUCACCUGUUGGAGAAUUAGGAAUCGAAAUUAUCGAUUUAGAUGAUCAAGAGAAGCAGGGAACGAUCGAGGGUUAGUUUAUGGUGGUGGUUGAUUAUUUUGGCGAACUCAAAAUCAACAAAUAAGUUAAUCUGUAUUAAAAACGAUCGAUUAAAAGAAUGAACUAGUGGAUUGAGGAUCUCGAGGUAGGCGUGGCUUGUCAUCAAAUCAGCUUCAGUUUUCCAGAUAAGACGAUGUACGUGAAGACUUCCGUUUCCGUAUCUUAGAGCUUUAUCGAUAUAGAGAUGUCGUGUAUCUUUUAUUAUAUGUAUCUUUAUUCUGUAAAACAACACAUUAUUGUAUUCAUAUCUAUCAGAAGGAAUUUAUCUAUACCA